This is a ribosomal RNA of Erinaceus europaeus (western European hedgehog), 77 nucleotides long. NCBI's taxonomy places the organism in Eukaryota, Metazoa, Chordata, Mammalia, Eulipotyphla, Erinaceidae. The record is from Ensembl.
CCAUGUUCCACUCUGAACAUGCCUGAUCUCCUCUGAUCUCAGAAGCUAAGAAGGGCUGGGCCUGGUAAUUACUUGGA